Molecule: ribosomal RNA, 465 nt
Filed under: uncultured bacterium
Lineage: Bacteria
Description: bacterial SSU rRNA
Rfam family: Bacterial small subunit ribosomal RNA
Source: RNAcentral
CCUACGGGGUGCACCAGUGGGGAAUAUUGCACAAUGGGCGCAAGCCUGAUGCAGCCAUGCCGCGUGUAUGAAGAAGGCCUUCGGGUUGUAAAGUACUUUCAGCGGGGAGGAAGGUGUUGUGGUUAAUAACCACAGCAAUUGACGUUACCUGCAGAAGAAGCACCGGCUAACUCCGUGCCAGCAGCCGCGGUAAUACGGAGGGUGCAAGCGUUAAUCGGAAUUACUGGGCGUAAAGCGCACGCAGGCGGUCUGUCAAGUCGGAUGUGAAAUCCCCGGGCUCAACCUGGGAACUGCAUUCGAAACUGGCAGGCUAGAGUCUUGUAGAGGGGGGUAGAAUUCCAGGUGUAGCGGUGAAAUGCGUAGAGAUCUGGAGGAAUACCGGUGGCGAAGGCGGCCCCCUGGACAAAGACUGACGCUCAGGUGCGAAAGCGUGGGGAGCAAACAGGAUUAGAUACCCCAGUAGUC